RNAcentral lists this ribosomal RNA (154 nucleotides) under Stegodyphus dumicola. RNAcentral describes it as "5.8S ribosomal RNA". It matches the Rfam family "5.8S ribosomal RNA". Rfam says of the family: 5.8S ribosomal RNA (5.8S rRNA) is a component of the large subunit of the eukaryotic ribosome. It is transcribed by RNA polymerase I as part of the 45S precursor that also contains 18S and 28S rRNA. Lineage: Eukaryota; Metazoa; Arthropoda; Arachnida; Araneae; Eresidae. The record is from RNAcentral.
AACUCUGAGAAGUGGAUCACUCGGCUCACGAGUUGAUAAAGAACGCAGCUAGCUGCGAGACUUGGUGUGAAUUGCAGACCACAUUGAACACUGAUUUUUCGAACUCGCAUUGCGGUCUCGGGUGACACCCGGGACCUUGCCUGUCUGAGGUUCG